AAAAAUUGUGGUAGUGUCAAGC
This 22-nucleotide microRNA is filed under the name Ixodes ricinus (castor bean tick). Its description in RNAcentral is "iri-miR-96-3p". Lineage: Eukaryota; Metazoa; Arthropoda; Arachnida; Ixodida; Ixodidae. The record is from RNAcentral.